Molecule: unclassified non-coding RNA, 291 nt
Filed under: uncultured fungus
Lineage: Eukaryota; Fungi
Description: sequence contains ITS1
Rfam family: 5.8S ribosomal RNA (bases 1-105)
Source: RNAcentral
GAAAUGCGAUAAGUAAUGUGAAUUGCAGAAUUCAGUGAAUCAUCGAAUCUUUGAACGCACAUUGCGCCCGGUGGCAUUCCGCCGGGCACGCCUGUCCGAGCGUCAUUGCAACAAUCAAGCCCCGCUUGGUGUUGGGGGCCGUCGCCGCGAGGCGACCCCCCCGGAACCCGUUGGCGGUGGCUGUCGCCCCGAUCGUCGCGCAUGUUACGACGAGGCGGCACGCCGCCCGCCCCAACCCGCAAUCGCGCACAGUUUGACCUCGGAUCAGGCGGGGAUACCCGCUGAACUUAA